Long non-coding RNA from Carya illinoinensis, 860 nucleotides. RefSeq lists it as uncharacterized. The record is from RefSeq and is a predicted model, not a curated record. The transcript has 2 exons. Lineage: Eukaryota; Viridiplantae; Streptophyta; Magnoliopsida; Fagales; Juglandaceae.
CCUUCAUUGUCGCGUUUAUCUGAUGCCAUUGAGUGUGCCACGGUGGUUGACUGGUUUCAGCUGAAGGACUGCAUUUAUGAAUAUCUGUACCAUUGCUUUUGUACCCCUUGUUGACUAAAUUUCUAUGCUUGAAGACAAAAGAGAAAUCUAACUACAGUAGGAGGGAAGGUUGUUGGAUUCGGUUGGUGGUUCUACAGUGAAAAUAUUAACUUUUCUUGGUGGGGAAUUAACUGCGUUUUGUUCACUAUAGCUGAAUAGUGUCUAAGAAUUUGUAAGGGCCAGGCCAUUUACAUGGAGUUUUCUCCUGGACUUGAGAUGCUUACUUGGAGUUUUCAGCUGGAGCUUUCACCUGGAGUUACUGCCCAUUCUCUAUUCUCUUUCGGUUGGACUUGGAUCCAUUCAUUUGGAGGUUUCACUUGGCUACAAAGGCCUUGCUCAGUUGCCUAGUUUCUUUCGGUUUGCCUGCUGGCUGAAGGUUGAGAUCAUGCCACGACAAGGCUUCAGUUUGAGUGAUGAGAGAGAGUCCAUGUCCAUCGGUAACUGCAGCUAUUGUGGAGAUGGCUGAAGAUCAAGGUUGAAGUUCUUGUGUUCUGAAGCAGUUCGAUUUAGACUACGAACGUAAACGUAGCAUCAAUAAGUGCAGGGAAAUGGGACACCUCCUAGAGAGAGAAGCAGACUUCUUACUGGCCGGUUUUUUUGGUGCCAAACGACUCUAAUGAUUUGCCUUUCUAAUCGCCCAUUGAGAGAGAGAGAGAGAGAGAGAGGUGCAAUUACGGCCUUCCAUUCUAAUCAAAUGUACAUGUUUUGGAAUCCUAUACUGACUUGUCAUUAUUUACACUUUUGGGUUUCUACUUCAUUUA